RNAcentral lists this ribosomal RNA (492 nucleotides) under uncultured bacterium. RNAcentral's name for it is "partial 16S ribosomal RNA". It matches the Rfam family "Bacterial small subunit ribosomal RNA", at positions 28 to 507 of the family's 1533-position model. The record is from RNAcentral.
GAUGAACGCUAGCUACAGGCUUAACACAUGCAAGUCGAGGGGAAACGCCAUCGAAAGCUUGCUUUUGAUGGGCGUCGACCGGCGCACGGGUGAGUAACGCGUAUCCAACCUGCCCAUCACUUGGGAAUAACCUUGCGAAAGUAAGACUAAUACCCAAUGAUAUCCCACGAAGGCAUCGGAAUGGGAUUAAAGAUUUAUCGGUGAUGGAUGGGGAUGCGUCUGAUUAGCUUGUUGGCGGGGUAACGGCCCACCAAGGCAACGAUCAGUAGGGGUUCUGAGAGGAAGGUCCCCCACAUUGGAACUGAGACACGGUCCAAACUCCUACGGGAGGCAGCAGUGAGGAAUAUUGGUCAAUGGGCGAGAGCCUGAACCAGCCAAGUAGCGUGCAGGAAGACGGCCCUAUGGGUUGUAAACUGCUUUUAUAAGGGAAUAAAGUGGGUCACGUGUGACUUUUUGCAUGUACCUUAUGAAUAAGGACCGGCUAAUUCCGUG